This 1468-nucleotide unclassified non-coding RNA is filed under the name uncultured fungus. RNAcentral's name for it is "sequence contains 18S rRNA gene, ITS1, 5.8S rRNA gene, ITS2, 28S rRNA gene". The stretch from base 410 to 1468 matches the Rfam family "Eukaryotic large subunit ribosomal RNA", at positions 1 to 961 of the family's 3401-position model. The record is from RNAcentral. Lineage: Eukaryota; Fungi.
GGAAGGAUCAUUCACGCAAUAUCCACGUCAUGUUAAAUCGGCGCGCUCGAGGGCAACCGCCAAAAGCCAAUUGUCAUUCAGCUUUUAUAGUUGUCUAAUAAUAGGAUAAAAGAACUUUAAGUUCAUGACGAUUGAUGCCUUGGUUCGGGAAUCGAUGAAGGACGCAGCAAAGUGCGAUAAGCACUGUGAAUUGCAGAAUUUAGCGAAUCAGCAGAUCUCUUAACGCAAAUGGUGUCAGGUAAACUUGUUUGCUUGACAGUCAUGCUUCAGUAUUGCACUUUAUGCACUAAACACGCAUUUUUGCUGCCUCGAUUCGUCGUUGGUAGUGCUUGGUUCGCUAAGUCAAACUGGCGAAUGGGAAUAGCUCGACGUUAUUAACUUGUUAACUAAAUGUCAGAGUAACUGCUAAUCAAUCUGAAGUAUGUCAGACUACCCGCUGAACUUAAGCAUAUCAUUAAGCGGAGGAAAAGAAACUAACUAGGAUUCCCUUAGUAAUGGCGAAUGAACAGGGAGGAGCUCAGUGGUGAAUCAGGGGUUUCCUCUGAAAUGUACCAUUAGGGUUAGCCAGUGCAUUGCGAAGUUUAACUCCUCUGGAAUGAGGGACCAUAGAGGGUGAUAGUCCCGUAUACACUUCUGCUUGUACGUUCGGCUGGCUCUGCAACGAGUCGCGCUCUUUGGGAGUAGAGCGUAAAAGGGUGGUAGAUUCCAUCCAAAGCUAAAUAUUUUCCCGAAACCAAUAGAGAACAAGUACCAUGAGGGAAAGGUGAAAAGAACUUUGGAAAGAGGGUUGAAAGUGCCUGAGAUCGUCAUGGAGGAAGCGAAUGUCGUCCGGUAUCUUGGCUUGAUUCGUAUGGAUGUGUCUGCAGUCAAUUGGCGCUUGCUUAGCACUUGCCCUGAAACUGUUAUGGCAUUGAAAUGCGAUUUCAAGUUGAGUUUGUGGUACCUGCUAACAUUCACAUUGACACAGUUGAAGACAGAUGCCCUCGGGUGUCUCGUCCCAGCUGAGAUGUGAAGGUGGCAGAUUCGAAGGGCUGCAUCCAACGCUGGAUCACGGAGUUGGAGUACGUGCAAAUUGUCUCUCUGAGACCAUGCGUGCGAUAUUUCUCUCUGAGACCUAGUGCGUUGCAGUCCGUAGUAUCACCAAAGGAUGAUAUCCGACCCGUCUUGAAACACGGACCAAGGAGUCUACCGUACGUGCGAGUGUGUGAGAUUUAAUCUUCUACGCGUAACGAAAGUGAUAUCUUCUUGAAUGCUUGCAUUUGUAGAAGGUACCAACCCAGAUCUUCGGAAAUGGGCUUGAGUAUGAGCACGUACGAUAGGACCCGAAAGAUGGUGAACUAUGCCUGAGUAGGGUGAAGCCAGGGGAAACUCUGGUGGAAGCUCGUAGCGAUACUGACGUGCAAAUCGUUCGUCAAACUUGGGUAUAGGGGCGAAAGACUAAUCGAACCAUCUAGUAGCUGGUUCCCUC